Molecule: non-coding RNA, 135 nt
Organism: Triticum urartu
Lineage: Eukaryota; Viridiplantae; Streptophyta; Magnoliopsida; Poales; Poaceae
Source: Rfam
CUGCUACUCCCUCCAUCCGAAAAUAUUUGUCAUCAAAAUGAAUAAGAAGGGAUGUAUCUACAACUAAAAUACGUUUAGAUACAUCUCCUUUUAUUUAUUUUGAUGAUAAGUAUUUUCAGACAGAGGGAGUAAGUC